UAUACGUUAUGCAGGGGCAAACGGCAUGCAAGAAUUUAUAUCGGUUCAAAAGGGCGAGAUAGGUUUAUUCAACUUAUAAGUCCUUAUAUUCUUGAUUGUUUCAAAUAUAAAUUACCUCAAUUUAGACAUACCCCUCAGAGACUUGAUUCUUCGGAAUCAGAUAGUAAGUUUUUACUUACUAUAACACGUUGAGCUCCUGCUUAUACGCAGGAUGAUGAUAUAGUCCAAUUAUCUGGCAGUAUAUUAUAUAUUUGUCAAGAGGCCAGCAGCAGCGGUAAUACGAGGACCCCAAGCGUUAUCCGGAAUCACUGGGCGUAAAGCGCAAGUAGUCGGUUUUGUUAGUCUGGUGUUAAAUCUCAUGGCUCAACUGUGAGACCGCAUCGGAAACGGCAAGACUAGAGUGGGUUAGAGGCAAGCGGAACGUGCGGUGUAGGGGUGAAAUCCAUUAAUAUUGCACGGAACACCAAAAGCGAAGGCAGCUUGCUAGGGCUCUACUGACGAUCAGUUGCGAAAGUGUGGGCAUAAAAAAGGAUUAGAUACCCUUGUAUUCCACACCCUAAACUAUGCAGACUAGCCAUCGGGAGCAUCGACCCUUUCGGUGGCGUAGCUAACGCGUUAAGUCUGCCGCCUGGGAAGUACGAUCGCAAGAUUAAAACUCAAAGGAAUAGCCGGGAAUUCGCACAAGCAGUGGAUCAUGUGGUUCAAUUCGACACUGAGCGAGGAACCUCACCAGGGCUUGAAAUCUAGCUGCAUACGCCAGAAAUGGCGUAGCCUUCGAGGGUGCUAGACAGGUGCUGCACGGCUGAAAGCAGAAGUUGCUAGUGGCUAGUGUUUAGUGACUAGUGACUGAAAAAAUCGGCCAGCGAAAGAGUAAUUUUUCGCACAAAAUACCCACUCAUAUCGGUGAAACCCAAAUCCGCCAGUCGGCGGAGGGCAAUACCGAGGGAACCCCGACUUUCGGUCGGGGACCUGUAGAGACUUUGAUUCUGAGUUUAUUGAAGGAUCAGGAUGGCAGACGUACAAUUUAAACUGCCAUAAAACGUGGGCUCCAGCACAUAUU
RNAcentral lists this ribosomal RNA (1060 nucleotides) under Candidatus Yanofskybacteria bacterium RIFCSPHIGHO2_02_FULL_38_22b. Its description in RNAcentral is "bacterial SSU rRNA". The stretch from base 154 to 1060 matches the Rfam family "Bacterial small subunit ribosomal RNA", at positions 1 to 1226 of the family's 1533-position model. RNAcentral also lists the same sequence under 1 other name. Lineage: Bacteria; Candidatus Yanofskyibacteriota. The record is from RNAcentral.